AUGUUACUCCCUCCGAUCCAUAUUAGUUGUCUAAAUAUUACAUGUAUCUGGACGUUUUUUAGGCACAAAUACAUCCAUAUUUGGACAAAUUGGAGACAAUUAAUAUGGAUUGGAGGGAGUAUCCU
Molecule: non-coding RNA, 125 nt
Organism: Brachypodium distachyon (stiff brome)
Lineage: Eukaryota; Viridiplantae; Streptophyta; Magnoliopsida; Poales; Poaceae
Source: Rfam